CUUAUGCCAAAAGUUUAUUAAUAUACAAAAUGCAGGUUCUCUGUAAUUUUCUCCCCAAGGUCCAGAAACCUGCCAAAAUGGAUAAGAUACAAUGUUACAUUGAAUUCCAUAAGCCACACACACACAAAAGAUUAAAAAACUUUGCAUAGGAACACUUGAUAAAAAAUAACUGAAACAACAGAUAUCUAUACAUUUUUUUGAUUCUGCUAUUCUAUUUUGGUUUUGAUUGACAGCUGGAUUAUUGUGUGGGUCAUUGAGGAAUGGUGAUCGAGGUUGGAAGUAGGGGUUGUGGUGUUUUUG
Molecule: long non-coding RNA, 300 nt
Filed under: Trifolium pratense (red clover)
Lineage: Eukaryota; Viridiplantae; Streptophyta; Magnoliopsida; Fabales; Fabaceae
Description: long non-coding RNA (TPRA_LNC004604)
Source: RNAcentral